CCUACGUGAGGCAGCAGUGAGGAAUAUUGGUCAAUGGGCGCGAGCCUGAACCAGCCAAGUAGCGUGAAGGAUGACUGCCCUACGGGUUGUAAACUUCUUUUAUAAAGGAAUAAAGUGAGGCACGUGUGCCUUUUUGUAUGUACUUUAUGAAUCAGGCUCGGCUAACUCCGUGCCAGCAGCCGCGGUAAUACGGAGGAUCCGAGCGUUAUCCGGAUUUAUUGGGUUUAAAGGGAGCGUAGAUGGGUUGUUAAGUCAGUUGUGAAAGUUUGCGGCUCAACCGUAAAAUUGCAAUUGAUACUGGCAGUCUUGAGUACAGUUGAGGUAGGCGGAAUGCGUGGUGUAGCGGUGAAAUGCUUAGAUAUCACGAAGAACUCCGAUUGCGAAGGCAGCUUACUAAACUGCCACUGACAUUGAUGCUCGAAAGUGUGGGUAUCAAACAGGAUUAGAUACCCUUGUAGUC
Molecule: ribosomal RNA, 460 nt
Filed under: uncultured bacterium
Lineage: Bacteria
Description: partial 16S ribosomal RNA
Rfam family: Bacterial small subunit ribosomal RNA
Source: RNAcentral